This 360-nucleotide ribosomal RNA is filed under the name uncultured eukaryote. Its description in RNAcentral is "partial 18S ribosomal RNA". It matches the Rfam family "Eukaryotic small subunit ribosomal RNA", at positions 592 to 976 of the family's 1831-position model. The record is from RNAcentral.
CAAUAGCAUAUAUUAACGUUGUUGCAGUUGAAAAGCUCGUAGUUGAACUUUUGGUAGGAGCGACCUGGCCUUGGGCGCAUGCCCUUGUUUGCCGUGUGUCGUAUCUGGCCAUCCUUUUCCGUUUCGGCGGGAAUCUUUUACUGUGAGUAAACUGGAGUGCUCAAAACAAGACGUUUGUUUGGUACAUUAAAGCAUGGAAUAAUAAGAUAGGACCUGGUUACUAUUUUGUUGGUUUGCAUAGCUAGGUAAUGAUUAACAGGGACAGUUGGGGGUAUUCGUAUUUAAUUGUCAGGGGUGAAAUUCUUGGAUUUAUGAAAGACGAACGACUGCGAAAGCAUUUACCAAGGAUGUUUUCAUUAA